GACGAACGCUGGCGGCGUGCUUAACACAUGCAAGUCGAACGGAAAGGCCCUGCUUGCAGGGUACUCGAGUGGCGAACGGGUGAGUAACACGUGGGUGAUCUGCCCUGCACUUCGGGAUAAGCCUGGGAAACUGGGUCUAAUACCGGAUAGGAGCCAUUUUUAGUGUGAUGGUUGGAAAGUUUUUUCGGUGUAGGAUGAGCUCGCGGCCUAUCAGCUUGUUGGUGGGGUAAUGGCCUACCAAGGCGGCGACGGGUAGCCGGCCUGAGAGGGUGGACGGCCACAUUGGGACUGAGAUACGGCCCAGACUCCUACGGGAGGCAGCAGUGGGGAAUAUUGCACAAUGGGCGCAAGCCUGAUGCAGCGACGCCGCGGGGGGGAUGACGGCCUUCGGGUUGUAAACUCCGUUCGCUAGGGACGAAGCUUUUUGUGACGGUACCUAGAUAAGAAGCACCGGCUAACUACGUG
Molecule: ribosomal RNA, 465 nt
Filed under: uncultured bacterium
Lineage: Bacteria
Description: partial 16S ribosomal RNA
Rfam family: Bacterial small subunit ribosomal RNA
Source: RNAcentral